This 1652-nucleotide long non-coding RNA is filed under the name Pan troglodytes (chimpanzee). RNAcentral describes it as "lincRNA". Lineage: Eukaryota; Metazoa; Chordata; Mammalia; Primates; Hominidae. The record is from RNAcentral.
GCAGUUUGAUCUCAGACUGCUGUGCUAGCAAUCAGCGAGACUCCGUGGGCGUAGGACCCUCCGAGCCAGGUGCGGGAUAAAAUCUCGUGGUGCGCCGUUUUUUAAGACCGUCGGAAAAGCGCAGUAUUCGGGUGGGAGUGACCCGAUUUUCCAGGUAGAGACACUUUUGACUUGAUCUCUGCAGUCCUCAACAUGGUCGAAGUCUGAAAUCAAGUGUGAGCAGGGCCAAUGGGCCCAUUCUGAAGACCCAAAGGAGAGUCCCCCUUUCCCUCUUCCAGCGUCUGGCAGUCCUAGGCCUUCUUUGGUUGACGGCAGCCUCACUUCCAUCUGUGCCUGUGACUCACAUAGCCCUCUUCUCUGUGUCUCUGACUUUCUCUUCUCUUAAAAGAACACCUCGGCUGGGUGUGGUGGCACACGCCUGUAAUCCCAGCACUUUGGGAGCCCCAGGCAGGUGAUCUGCCUGCCUCGGCCUCCCAAAGUGCUAGGAUUAUAGGCAUGAGCCACAGCAUAGGGCCCAGUUUCAAUCUUUAACCAAUGAAAACCUGAACACAAAACAAUAAUUCUUAACCAAUCAUGAUGAAACGCAGUAACUUUUUUUUUUAAUAAAAGGAAGGAGAAAGUGUUGAAAAUUGACAUCUAUGUUUACAUAUCACAGCAACACAAAGUGCCAGCAAAAAAAAAAAAAAGUGGAAAAAUGAAAGUAUCUUGGCCCCAUGAGUUUUGCUCUGCUUCCCACUGUCAUUUAUUCAGUACAUGUGUCACUAGAGCCAGGACUUGCUCUAGAAGUUGGAGGAAGUCAAUGGCACUGUGAGAAACGUGAAUUACCAAGGGACUCUGUCAUGUCCUUCGUUACUCAUGUGACUUCCUUACAUGAAAGGAAAAUAAAUCCUGGGGCCUCCAUAUCACUCAGCUAAAGGGAAAAGUCAAGCUGGAUCUGCUUAGGGCAAACCUGCCUCCCAUUGUAUUCAAAGUCAUCCCACUCUUCACUGAGAUAAAUGCAUAUCUGACGGCCUCCUUUGGAAAGGCUCAUCAGAAACUCAGAAGAAUGCAACCAUUUGUCUCUUAUCUACCUAUGACCUGGAAUUUCAGUAUUAAACCAAUGUUUAUCUUGCAUAUAUUGAUUGAUGUCUCAUGUCUCUGUAGAGACUACAUGAAAAUUUUGUUGUUGAAAUAAUUCGUUGUACUGAGCUUCACUUGAAAUGCUUAAAUACCUUGAAAACAUUUCCAUUUUUGCCUUUACUCAAAUCAGGUGGUGGCUACUUUCUAAUGAAUGCAAAUCCCAGUAUGUGAAAAGUGUGGGUUAGGACAAUAAAAGGGGAGGUGACACCAUUUUAAUGGUUUCUCAGAAGCUGUGCUCCGAUGACCUUGGGCACAUGUCAUCAGUACCUCCUGAGGUUAUGUCACAGGUGCAUGUCCUUAACUUUGGCAAAAUAAACUUCCUAAAUUAACUGAGAUCUGUCUCAGAUAUUCAGGCUUCACAGCUAUGCCAGCUAACCCCUUAUGCUGAAAACGAGGACUUAAAAGGAAAGGGCAAGAGAGCCAGACUUGCUUUUUCCUUUUUUUUUUUUUUUUAAAGUCUUUCCUUAUUCAUCAGUAAGCCAAAAGUAGAGGUUGUUAGUAGAAAAUGUGUGCACCAAGAAGUGAAAUAAAGA